Molecule: transfer RNA, 74 nt
Filed under: Podarcis lilfordi (Lilford's wall lizard)
Lineage: Eukaryota; Metazoa; Chordata; Lepidosauria; Squamata; Lacertidae
Description: tRNA.Ile
Rfam family: tRNA (bases 8-66)
About the family: Transfer RNA (tRNA) molecules are approximately 80 nucleotides in length. Their secondary structure includes four short double-helical elements and three loops (D, anti-codon, and T loops).
Source: RNAcentral
GGCUGGAUAGCUCAGUUGCUUAGAGCAUGGUGCUGAUAACACCAAGGUUGCAGGUUCGAUCCCCAUAUGGGACA